This is a small nucleolar RNA of Lotus japonicus, 107 nucleotides long. The record is from RefSeq and is a predicted model, not a curated record. NCBI's taxonomy places the organism in Eukaryota, Viridiplantae, Streptophyta, Magnoliopsida, Fabales, Fabaceae.
AUGUUGUGUCCAGGACAUUUUCUGAGCAAUCCCUUGAACCUCUCCCAAGUUUCAUGGAGGUUCUCAUAAUCCAACUGGACAAAGGAGUUAAUCUCCUACUUCAAUUU